RNAcentral lists this long non-coding RNA (876 nucleotides) under Lupinus angustifolius (narrow-leaved blue lupine). RNAcentral describes it as "long non-coding RNA (LANG_LNC003499)". Lineage: Eukaryota; Viridiplantae; Streptophyta; Magnoliopsida; Fabales; Fabaceae. The record is from RNAcentral.
AAAAACUUAAAAGUAGUCUCAUAUGACAUUUUAAAAACAAAAUACAUAACAAAUAUCCUAAAUGUUAUUGGCUUCAUAUGAUUAUCUUGCACCAGAAGGUGUUUGAGGCAUAUUUGCAUAGACUGAAAUAAUAAAAGUAUUUAGUUGAAACAAUUAAAAACAUUAAUAAUUACCUUAUCAUGAUAUACAUAAGCAUAUAAAAUUAACAACUAACAUGUAUGCAAAAUAGUAAUGAAUAUUCAGAAUUUUCAUAGAUUGUAGGACCUCUGGUAGCAAGUUACAAAUAAGUUCAUGUUAAUAAAUUCAAUUACUAAUUGCAUGUAUAAAUGUUUGAUGAUUUUACUGCUUCCCUGUGGCUGUCCAUUUUCUUAAUCAAUGACAAGUGUCUUAGUAUUAUGUUAGACACAAUACUAAAAAUGAUUUGAAAGUUGCAAAGAACUGAUUUUUGUGAUGUCUGUGCAUUAUAGUCACAAAUCACAACUCAUCUUAUCUUAGUUUGGUUAAACAGGAACAAAUAGUGCCCCUUUGUUUAGGAUUCUCAAAAAAUUAAUUCUACAAAAGUGAUAUUGGUAGAAAUGUUAGUGAGAAGCUGAAAAUUCUAGCUUCUCCUAAAAGUUGAUUAAACACAUCCAAAAACAAAUUAAAUACCUGCAAAGAUGGUAAAGUGAGUUGUAUGUCUUUUACGAAACACUUGCUGAUUGCUUAGUUGCAGCAAGUUGGUCUACAUAGUUUGGAAUCUCCAAUGAAAAGGGUUUCAUUUGAGAUGCAAAAGCACUCCACCAUGGUGCUGAACUUUGCAUAAAAAGUAGGUUCUACCAUGGAUUUUUUAUCCAAUCCUCAGCAUACAUCAAACCAAAAUUUCAAUUUCCAUAACUU